UACGUAGGGUGCAAGCGUUGUCCGGAAUUAUUGGGCGUAAAGAGCUCGUAGGCGGUUUGUCGCGUCUGCUGUGAAAAUCCAGGGCUUAACCCUGGACCUGCAGUGGGUACGGGCAGACUAGAGUGCGGUAGGGGAGAUCGGAAUUCCUGGUGUAGCGGUGAAAUGCGCAGAUAUCAGGAGGAACACCGGUGGCGAAGGCGGAUCUCUGGGCCGUAACUGAACGCUGG
This 227-nucleotide ribosomal RNA is filed under the name uncultured bacterium. Its description in RNAcentral is "partial 16S ribosomal RNA". It matches the Rfam family "Bacterial small subunit ribosomal RNA", at positions 524 to 749 of the family's 1533-position model. The record is from RNAcentral.